AAUAUUGAAAGAAUCUCAAUCUCUUAAUUAGAACACCUCUUUGCUAAAUCUUAGAUAUUCAAUUUCAAUUUUUCAUGAGAAAACUCAAAGCUAAAAUCUUGUGUUAAUAAAAAUGCAUGUAUUAAAACUCACAGCCAGUCCAAGCAAAUAUAUAUA
This is a long non-coding RNA of Varanus komodoensis (Komodo dragon), 156 nucleotides long. RefSeq lists it as uncharacterized. The transcript is spliced from 3 exons. The record is from RefSeq and is a predicted model, not a curated record. Lineage: Eukaryota; Metazoa; Chordata; Lepidosauria; Squamata; Varanidae.